Molecule: long non-coding RNA, 2659 nt
Organism: Cavia porcellus (domestic guinea pig)
Lineage: Eukaryota; Metazoa; Chordata; Mammalia; Rodentia; Caviidae
Exons: 2
Source: RefSeq, a predicted model, not a curated record
UGUAGCCUGGUGACAUUUGUCUGGCAAUGUGCUGGGGACACAACUUCCACUGCCCUUUCUGAGUGGCCGUAUCAAGGAGCAUGCUUAAUAUUUGCACUUGGGGUUAGUAUUAGGUCUCACGGUGUGCCGGGUCAUGUGGCACCCUCAAAGUCAAAGUGGGAGCCCCACUCCAGAAAUUUGAAGAAGCCCGGCCUCAAGGACAAAGCAGGAGCUUCAAGAGGGGCCUCGCCUUAAUCACACAGCAGCCAGACACCUUGGGCACCUUGGCGGAAAGCACAGGCUAUUUUGGAUCGGGCCGUAAGCUGUCUUGGCGGGUUACCUGAAGGGAGUUCCUUCCCAUCCAACUGCAGAUACACAGCAUUGCUAGGGACCAAAAUGACACUUUCCCGAAGGCCCCUCCCAGCAAGGCCAUCCGCCUAGAAAGGAAUGCCGUGAAGGACAGACUUCUGAGAUGGUGAGGAAAAUGAAAGCUUAGGGAUUCACUUAUCUGCUUUUCUUUUCUGAGCACAAAGCAAGAGAAGACAUAGGAAAGCUGUGCCAAGGGACCAGAGGCCCCCUUCCAGCCUUCGCCCUCACAUUCUGCAGCUGAAGGCGAGACCAGGAGAGACAGCAGUAGGCAGGAGCUCAAAGCACCCCAUCUGCUUUGGUGUGCAUUUCCACUAAGUAUAGUGACUACAAUGCUGAAUGGAUUGAUUUAGACAAACAUGACAGCCUCACCUGACAUCCACAGACUUCACAUACUCCGAAAGCAAGUCCUUGGGGAAACGGCAGGCGCAGGGGCCACGCACGCCCGUCACUAAAUGCAUGCUUUCCCUCAUUCCCCCUUUCUCUCAGCUUCACUUUGCACACUGCCUGCAGUUUACUGAUGCGUGCAUGCAACAAGUUUUUGUUCAUUCUGAGCUUCUGUCUCCAGAGAUACGACCAGCAGCUCCUGGGAAAUCUGUAGAGAGGGUUAUUUGCAAUGCCUGGAAGCCUGUCGUCUUUUUCUAUAACAAGAUUAUUUCUACAAAUGAAUAAAGAGGCUCUGCUGGGUUAAACGUCAAUUUUUUUCACUGAGAUAAAUACCGUACAUCAAGAACUUAAUUCAAGAACCAUAUCAUGUUUCUGGCAAGGUAAGAGGCAGGGCAGAUGUUUAAAGGCAAAUAUUUCUUGAAGAUGAGUAAAAGGCAGGAAAAAAAUCUUACUCAGGAGAGACAUAAUAACAGGUUAUAAAUCAGAAAGAUAAAGGACGUGGUAAAGAAAGAAACCAUGAUUUUGCUCUGUCUGGGAAAAACCACACCCACUAAGGAGGGCAUAUUAUACUUAUGAGAAGUAUGUUUUAAAUGUAUAUGGGUGUGCAUGAGUUAAGUCAUGGCUUACCUCUGUGGUGUCUGUUUACUCCAUUGCACAGGGGGCGGGGGGCAAAGUGGUCCAGGCAAGUGUAAACUUGCUUUCCUUCAUUUGCAUUUUUUCUUUCCUUAACUCCUUUUAUGAAAGUAGCUGUUCUACUUCAUUCUUCAUCUUCCUCCCUAUUGCAUUGCUCUAACAAUCUCCUCUCUUAUUUGUUUCUGAAAGUCUUCUAUAGUUUGCUCAGUCAAUGUUGUAUCACUAGUGUCUCAUUAUUCGGUAGCUAGGGAACACAAAGUCCUGGGGUUUAGUAUAUAGCGGAUUAAGAGGAAAGUCCAUGCCCCCGACUGCAGUAACUGAGAAAUAAGUGAACGUUUCCACUCUUGAUGGAGAAGCAAUACAAGUGGCAUUCCAAAGGGCACAGAAAGUGACUUCACUUGCAACACACGUAAUGAACCCAAAGGUGCCUUCUGAAAGAGUUCACUUUUAGAUAAAUAUUGUAUAUCUUAACUUCUCAUAGGAGCUCGGGUUCUUGUGGAGAUAUAUUUAAAUUUUCCAUUUCACUGCUCUUGCGUAGUGUUAUUUAUGGUGGAGUCAGUAAGAAUUUAUUUUCAUUUUGAGACCUACAACAGUUUUACUAGUAAAAGUGCAAUUGUGAAUAGUGUGUCUUUUAUUGUGUAUAUGCACCAUACUUUACAGACUCCAACAAUUAGUAUACUAAGUUACAAUUAGAUAGGAUAAAUAAAUUCUAAUGUCUAAAGAGGAGCAGAGUGAUUUUACAUAAUGAUAAUAUAAUGUGUAUGUCAGAAGUUAGAAGAUUUCAAGUGUUCUUACCAUACAGAAUUAAAGUUUGAGGAUCUAGAAUGCAUAUUCUAAUGUGAAUGUUAUGUGAUGUAUACAUGUAUUGAUGUUUCAUGGUAUUUCAAAUAUGUAUACUUCUACUUGUUAAGUAAAGUGUAUAUAUAAAAAAAUCUGAUUUUGCAGUACUAAUCAACAUGUUCAUUAUGUCACAAUAAUCAUUACUUAGCUGAUCAUGUUUAUUCAAUUAUAUUGACUUAUGUUUAUUUUAUUCUCCUUGUCUCUUCAAAUGCAAAGAGUUAAUCCUGUAAAAGUCAUUUGAGGCAUUUGAUAUGAUGUUCUGUAUUAAAAUGUCACAUUUCAAAGUUAUGUAAACCAAAUACAUAACACAAUGUUUUAUAAUAUUGUAUUCUCUAUGGCCAAUUAUGAAAAAUACAAGCAGAGCUGCAACUGUAGAGAUGUAAGAGGGUCAAACAGGACACAGAUGAUCUGGUGUGUUGUUUGCUUCUGUGGCUCUAAUAAAAGGUGUUUCCCC